This 240-nucleotide unclassified non-coding RNA is filed under the name soil metagenome. RNAcentral describes it as "partial contains 5.8S ribosomal RNA, internal transcribed spacer 2, and large subunit ribosomal RNA". The record is from RNAcentral.
AAGACUAUAGACCUGCGGAGUACCUGCGGAGGGAUCAUUGCCACACACGAUCCAAGAUCGACACUUUUUGUGAACCGUAACCGUGAUUCUAUUAACCGUUAAAAGGAGCCGAAAGAUUCGGGUAAAACUGAGUUUUUGGCGAUUUUUUCUGGUUGAUAGCUUUUUAAACACCUUAUAACAUGAAUUAUGCAUUGGAACAAAAAGAGUUUAUGACAAGUUUGUCUUGUUAUAAAUACUAGA